Molecule: transfer RNA, 84 nt
Filed under: Candidatus Woesearchaeota archaeon
Lineage: Archaea; Nanobdellati; Candidatus Woesearchaeota
Description: tRNA-Leu
Rfam family: tRNA
About the family: Transfer RNA (tRNA) molecules are approximately 80 nucleotides in length. Their secondary structure includes four short double-helical elements and three loops (D, anti-codon, and T loops).
Source: RNAcentral
GCAGAGGUGCCGGAGCGGUCAAACGGGUUAGGCUUAGGACCUAAUGGCUUAGUGCCUUCGCAGGUUCGAAUCCUGUCCUCUGCA